CCGUGCCGAAUGCUAACGCGUUAAGUAGCCCGCCUGGGGAGAUCGCGCGCAAGUUGGAAACUCAGAGGAAUUGACGGGGGCCGGCACAAGCGUGGGAGUAUGUGGUUUAAUUCGUAGCAAGGGUUCGAACCUUACCAGGGUUUGACAUCCCCCGAAUCUCUUGGAAACUUGGGAGGGCCUUCGGGAGCGGGUAGACAGGUGGUGCAUGGCUGUCUUCAGCUCGUAUCAUGAGAUGUUGGGUUAAUUCCCGCAACGAGAGCAACCCUGGUUUUUAGUUGCCAUCAGUAAGUUGGGCACUCUAGAGAGACUACCGGUGUCAAACCGGAGGAAGGUAGGGAUGACGUCAAGUCAUCAUGCCCCUUACGCCUUGGGCUACACACGUACUACAAUGGUCGGGACAACGGGCAGCGAAGCCGCGAGGUGAAGCGAAUCCCACAAAACCCGGCCUCAGUUCAGAUUGCAGGCUGCAACUCGCCUGCAUGAAGGAGGAAUAGCUAGUAAUCGCAGGUCAGAAUACUGCGGUGGGUACGUCUCCGGGC
This 539-nucleotide ribosomal RNA is filed under the name Synechocystis salina HelwanI. RNAcentral describes it as "bacterial SSU rRNA". It matches the Rfam family "Bacterial small subunit ribosomal RNA", at positions 841 to 1379 of the family's 1533-position model. The record is from RNAcentral. Lineage: Bacteria; Bacillati; Cyanobacteriota; Cyanophyceae; Synechococcales; Merismopediaceae.